AUUGAACGCUGGCGGCAUGCCUUACACAUGCAAGUCGAACGGCAGCGCGGGGCAACCUGGCGGCGAGUGGCGAACGGGUGAGUAAUAUAUCGGAACGUGCCCUGGAGUGGGGGAUAACGUAGCGAAAGUUACGCUAAUACCGCAUACGAUCCAAGGAUGAAAGCAGGGGACCUUCGGGCCUUGUGCUCCUGGAGCGGCCGAUAUCUGAUUAGCUAGUUGGUGGGGUAAAAGCCUACCAAGGCGACGAUCAGUAGCUGGUCUGAGAGGACGACCAGCCACACUGGAACUGAGACACGGUCCAGACUCCUACGGGAGGCAGCAGUGGGGAAUAUUGGACAAUGGGCGCAAGCCUGAUCCAGCCAUGCCGCGUGGGUGAAGAAGGCCUC
Molecule: ribosomal RNA, 386 nt
Filed under: uncultured bacterium
Lineage: Bacteria
Description: bacterial SSU rRNA
Rfam family: Bacterial small subunit ribosomal RNA
Source: RNAcentral